Molecule: ribosomal RNA, 460 nt
Filed under: uncultured bacterium
Lineage: Bacteria
Description: partial 16S ribosomal RNA
Rfam family: Bacterial small subunit ribosomal RNA
Source: RNAcentral
CCUACGGGAGGCAGCAGUGAGGAAUAUUGGUCAAUGGGCGGAAGCCUGAACCAGCCAAGUAGCGUGCAGGAUUACGGCCCUACGGGUUGUAAACUGCUUUUAUACGGGAAUAACGCGCCUUACGUGUAGUGCUUUGCAUGUACCGUAUGAAUAAGGACCGGCUAAUUCCGUGCCAGCCGCCGCGGUUAUUCGGAAGGUCCGGGCGUUAUCCGGAUUUAUUGGGUUUAAAGGGAGCGUUGGCCGCAUGUCCAGCGUGCUGUGAAAUGUCCGGGCUCAACCCGGGCCUUGCAGCGGGAACGGGCGUGCUUGAGUCCGCGGAAAGCAGGCGGAAUGCGUCGUGUAGCGGUGAAAUGCUUAGAUAUGACGAAGAACCCCGAUUGCGAAGGCAGCUUGCUGCAGCGGAACUGACGCUGAUGCUCGAAAGCGCGGGUAUCGAACAGGAUUAGAUACCCGAGUAGUC